This 432-nucleotide ribosomal RNA is filed under the name uncultured bacterium. RNAcentral describes it as "partial 16S ribosomal RNA". It matches the Rfam family "Bacterial small subunit ribosomal RNA", at positions 338 to 795 of the family's 1533-position model. The record is from RNAcentral.
CCUACGGGUGGCAGCAGUGGGGAAUAUUGCGCAAUGGGCGAAAGCCUGACGCAGCAACGCCGCGUGCGGGAUGAAGGCCUUCGGGUUGUAAACCGCUUUCAGUGGGGACGCGGUACCCACAGAAGAAGCCCCGGCCAACUACGUGCCAGCAGCCGCGGUAACACGUAGGGGGCGAGCGUUGUCCGGAUUUAUUGGGCGUAAAGAGCUCGUAGGCGGCUCGGUAAGUCAGGUGUGAAAACUCUAGGCUCAACCUAGAGACGCCACCUGAUACUGCUGGGCUAGAGUCCGGUAGGGGAGCAUGGAAUUCCUGGUGUAGCGGUGAAAUGCGCAGAUAUCAGGAGGAACACCAGUGGCGAAGGCGGUGCUCUGGGCCGGACUGACGCUGAGGAGCGAAAGCGUGGGGAGCAAACAGGAUUAGAUACCCUUGUAGUC